GUCUGGUGCCAGCAGCCGCGGUAAUUCCAGCUCCAAUAGCGUAUAUUAAACUUGUUGCAGUUAAAAAGCUCGUAGUUGAAUUUUAGCGUGUUCGAGUUUGCCAUUCGUUUGGCUUUUUCGAGUUCGCUUUUGGGUUUUCCCUUUUUACUUUGAGAAAAUUAGAGUGUUUCAAGCAGACUUUUGUCUUGAAUACUUCAGCAUGGAAUAAUAGAGUAGGACUUUGGUUCUAUUUUGUUGGUUAUUGAACCUUAGUAAUGGUUAAUAGGAACGGUUGGGGGCAUUCGUAUUUAACUGUCAGAGGUGAAAUUCUUAGAUUUGUUAAAGACGAACUACUGCGAAAGCAUUUGCCAAGGACGUUUCCAUUAAUCAAGAACGAAAGUUAGGGGAUCGAAGACGAUCAGAUACCGUCGUAGUCUA
RNAcentral lists this ribosomal RNA (417 nucleotides) under Babesia vogeli. RNAcentral describes it as "SSU rRNA". It matches the Rfam family "Eukaryotic small subunit ribosomal RNA", at positions 559 to 1027 of the family's 1831-position model. The record is from RNAcentral. Lineage: Eukaryota; Apicomplexa; Aconoidasida; Piroplasmida; Babesiidae.